ACUCAAAUGAAUUGACGGGGACCCGCACAAGCGGUGGAGCGUGUUGUUUAAUCCGACGGUAAGCGUAGAACCUUACCAGGGUUUGACAUCUCGGGAAGGUCUGUGAAAGCAGACUGUGCCUUUUGGAACCCGAUGACAGAUGAUGCAUGGCCGUCGUCAGCUCGUGUCGUGAGAUGUUUGGUUAAGUCCAUCAACGAGCGCAACCCUUAUAGUCAGUUGAAUUGUCUGGCUAGACUGCCCCGGUAACGGGGAGGAAGGAGGGGAUGAUGUCAGGUCGUCAUUUCUCUUACACCCUGGGCUACAAACACGCUACAAUGGCCGGUACAAAGGGCAGCUAAGCUGUGAAGUGGAGCAAAUCCCAUCAAAGCCGGUCUCAGUUCGGAUUGCAGGCUGAAACUCGCCUGCAUGAAGCUGGAAUCGCUAGUAACGGUAGGUCAGCACACUACCGUGAAUACGUUCCCGGGUCUUGUACACACCGCCCGU
Molecule: ribosomal RNA, 483 nt
Filed under: uncultured bacterium
Lineage: Bacteria
Description: partial 16S ribosomal RNA
Rfam family: Bacterial small subunit ribosomal RNA
Source: RNAcentral